AAUAUUGGACAAUGGGCGAAAGCCUGAUCCAGCCAUGCCGCGUGUGUGAAGAAGGUCUUCGGAUUGUAAAGCACUUUAAGUUGGGAGGAAGAGUUGUAGGCUAGUACAUUGCAAUGUUGACGUUACCAACAGAAUAAGCACCGGCUAACUUCGUGCCAGCAGCCGCGGUAAGACAGAGGGUGCAAGCGUUAAUAGGAAUUACUGGGCGUAAAGCACGCGUAGGUGGUUAAGUAAGAAGGAAGUUAAAUCCCCGGGCUUAACCUGGGAACUGCUUUCAUAACUGCUGAGCUGGAGUACGGUAGAGGGUAGUGGAAUUUCCUGUGUAGCGGUGAAAUGCGUAGAUAUAGGAAGGAACACCAGUGGCGAAGGCGACUACCUGGACUGAUACUGACACUGAGGUGCGACAGCGUGGGGAGCAAACAGG
RNAcentral lists this ribosomal RNA (424 nucleotides) under uncultured bacterium. Its description in RNAcentral is "partial 16S ribosomal RNA". It matches the Rfam family "Bacterial small subunit ribosomal RNA", at positions 360 to 776 of the family's 1533-position model. The record is from RNAcentral.